RNAcentral lists this transfer RNA (57 nucleotides) under Bos taurus (domestic cattle). It matches the Rfam family "tRNA", at positions 8 to 63 of the family's 71-position model. From Rfam's summary of the family: Transfer RNA (tRNA) molecules are approximately 80 nucleotides in length. RNAcentral also lists the same sequence under 4 other names. Lineage: Eukaryota; Metazoa; Chordata; Mammalia; Artiodactyla; Bovidae. The record is from Rfam by way of RNAcentral.
UAGCUCAGAGGAUAAAGCAUCUGCCUGCAAUGCAGGAGACCCGGGUUUGAUCCCUGG